Molecule: ribosomal RNA, 917 nt
Filed under: uncultured Gram-positive bacterium
Lineage: Bacteria
Description: bacterial SSU rRNA
Rfam family: Bacterial small subunit ribosomal RNA
Source: RNAcentral
AGAGUUUGAUCCUGGCUCAGGAUGAACGCUGGCGGCGUGCCUAACACAUGCAAGUCGAACGGAGCCUUAACCAAAGAAGCAGCCAGCUUGCUGGAAGCGGAAAAGGGAAAGGCUUAGUGGCGGACGGGUGAGUAACGCGUGGGUAACCUGGCCCAUACAGGGGGAUAACACUUAGAAAUAGGUGCUAAUACCGCAUAACAACAGAAAGCGCAUGCUUUUUGUUUGAAAACCAAGGUGGUAUGGGAUGGACCCGCGUCUGAUUAGCUGGUUGGCGGGGUAAAGGCCCACCAAGGCGACGAUCAGUAGCCGGCCUGAGAGGGUGGACGGCCACAUUGGGACUGAGACACGGCCCAAACUCCUACGGGAGGCAGCAGUGGGGAAUAUUGCACAAUGGGGGAAACCCUGAUGCAGCGACGCCGCGUGAGUGAAGAAGUAAUUCGUUAUGUAAAGCUCUAUCAGCAGGGAAGAAAAUGACGGUACCUGAGUAAGAAGCCCCGGCUAACUACGUGCCAGCAGCCGCGGUAAUACGUAGGGGGCAAGCGUUAUCCGGAUUUACUGGGUGUAAAGGGAGCGUAGACGGCAGUGCAAGUCUGGAGUGAAAGGCGGGGGCUCAACCCCCGGACUGCUCUGGAAACUGUACGGCUGGAGUGCAGGAGAGGUAAGUGGAAUUCCUAGUGUAGCGGUGAAAUGCGUAGAUAUUAAGAGGAACACCAGUGGCGAAGGCGGCUUACUGGACUGUAACUGACGUUGAGGCUCCAAAGCGUGGGGAGCAAACAGGAUUAGAUACCCUGGUAGUCCACGCCGUAAACGAUGAUCACUAGGUGUCGGGGGUUAAAGAACCUUCGGUGCCGCAGCCAACGCAGUAAGUGAUCCACCUGGGGAGUACGUUCGCAAGAAUGAAACUCAAAGGAAUUGAC